Cannabis sativa is the source of this 2228-nucleotide long non-coding RNA. RefSeq lists it as uncharacterized. Lineage: Eukaryota; Viridiplantae; Streptophyta; Magnoliopsida; Rosales; Cannabaceae. The transcript is spliced from 2 exons. The record is from RefSeq and is a predicted model, not a curated record.
AAAAAAAACCCAUAUAUUUACAUACAUGUAAUUUAAAUAAUUUUUAUUUUUAAUAUAUUUUAUAUGUUUUUAGUUUAAUAUAAUAAUUUUUAUAAAAUAUGUCAAAAUAUUAAUAUACACAUUUUAAGAGUUUUAAAUAAUAUAUACACGUGUAACUAACUAGGUCACACCAUCGGCUGAUCUUGGUGAGCAAGUAAAUAAUUAAGCCCACAAAAAUUAUAACCUACGAAAAUAACUCCAAUUAAAAAAAACUAUAAAUAUCAGAUUAUAUAUUAAUUUACUUGCUUAUAUACAUAGAUCACUUACAUAUUAAUUAUAAACUUAUAUAUAAUGUAGCCCUAGCUAUAUAUCCUAAUUAAUUUAUACACAUUUUUUCGUGCAAGAAAUUAACCAAAAGAACGAAUAUAAAAAAACACAAACCCCUUAACUCAUUCUCUCUAUGACUCUUUACAGUAUACAUACAUACACAUAUAUAUACUGUACGUACGUAUACAGAAGAAUAUAUAUAAGAUAUGAAGCACAGCAUGAUUUUGGUGUCACUAUUAUUGGUGGUGGUGAUGGUGUUGAACUUGAGCCAAGCCAAGGGGAGUCGAUUAUUACCGGCCGAUUGCUCCAUUGCCAGUAAUAAUCAUCACCGCCUCCGUCUCAGACGGCGGCCAUUUAUGUACGAGAAGAUCAGUAGGAAGAAGAUGAUGAUGAUGAGCAGAUGGUUUCAACAGCUAGAGUCAGGACCAAGUCCUAGAGGCCCUGGUCACUAAUAAUAUCCGUUGUAUCGGCGGGCGCCACCCGAGUGUUGCCGGAGGAUUUUGGUGGUGGAAGUCAUCUUCAGAUGAGGUCAUCUACUAGGCAAAGUUUAUUGGCAUUUUGGCUCCAAAGACUAUCCUCUGGACCAAGUCCCAGUGGCCCUGGUCACUGAUGAUAUUUACACUCAUGUUUUUUUUUUUUAAUCAAUAAUCAAUCUAUUCAUUUAUUUAUUUAUUUUUCUCUAAAGAGAACAGAAUAUAAAAUAUUCUUUUAUUCAAAUUGUUGUAAGGUUUGGUUUUCAUGGAUUCAUUUAUUAAUUUUUGGACUUGAAAUGCAAUAAAACUGUCCCUAUUUAUUUAUCUAUAUUUUUGUCUUUGUAAAUAAUUUGUUUUAUUUGUGUAAAAUAUUUGAUCUUUUAACAUUCUGAUAACAGUUGUAAUCUUAUAUCGAUUUACUUUAAUAUACACUUAUGGUUUCUCUCUCUAUUCUCUAGUUUGAAAAUGAUUAAUAAUCUUGAUGAUCUUCUGGCCUCUUAGCUGUAUAUCUGUUCAGAAGAAAUAUGAUGUUUUCAUUAAUUUUCAAAGAAAUCUGUGUAGACUGUAGUUGUCUUCACUCAAAAUUAUGCAAGUUCAAGGUGGUAGGAGUAGGAUGAAUGGAAAAGAGGAAUCUGAAUGUUUUGCCUGUUUUUGUAAGUUAUGAAAUUAUGAAACUGCAUUUCUGGAAAAUGAAGAGCAGUUUCCUCAACAUAAGAAUAAGAUAAAGAAAAUGGCAGCUAAUCUAAUCAUUCUGGAUGAGAUACAUACAAGUACAGGUUCUCUCUCUGUCUCUACCUUUACUGUUAUUUUUACUAGUUUCAAUAUAGAGGGAAAAUGGGCAAGGAGAACUACUCUGAAUUUGAUAGGCUUCGAGAUGCUAAGUCGGGAGUUGAGAAGUGGCUGGACAAGCUUCGAGAUGCUGUGGAAGAUGCAGAGGAUCUCUUGGAGGAAUAUAAGUAUGAUGCGCUCAAACUCAAAGGAGAAAAAUAGCCAAAACCGAACUCAGCUGUUCAAUAAAGAAAGAAAGAAAUGAAGAAGAUUCAAUUCUAGAGCAGAUGGAUACUUUUAAAAAUGAUAAGUUCAUGCAAACAAGUGCUGAAAAAAAAUCCCAUUAAAGAGGCCACCUUCAACAUUUUCCAUUAUUAAUUCUGAAUUGUUCUGUAGGGAUGAUGGAAAGGAAAUUGUGAAAGAGAAGUUGCUGUUAAAUGUAGCAGAUGGUGAAAAAAUAUGUUUGAUUCCAAUUAUGGGCUUAGGAGGCAUCAUGGCUUUAUGUCUCAAAUGAAUUUGAUGUUUAGAAAGUAACGAAAACAAUUCUUGUAGCAGUAACUAGAAAGAUAAUUGUUACAACAAGAAGUGAUAAUUAGCAUCAAUUGUGAGAACGAUUGAAGCUUGUUUUUUAAGUUAAAUUGUCAAAAUUGUAUGCGGCAGUAAAGAAUUUAUUACAACAAA